Molecule: ribosomal RNA, 492 nt
Filed under: uncultured bacterium
Lineage: Bacteria
Description: partial 16S ribosomal RNA
Rfam family: Bacterial small subunit ribosomal RNA
Source: RNAcentral
AUUGAACGCUGGCGGCAUGCUUUACACAUGCAAGUCGAACGGUAACAGGCCUUCGGGUGCUGACGAGUGGCGAACGGGUGAGUAAUGCAUCGGAACGUACCCAGAGGUGGGGGAUAACGCAGCGAAAGCUGUGCUAAUACCGCAUGUGAUCUGAGGAUGAAAGCGGGGGACCGAGCAGCAAUGUUUGGCCUCGCGCCUUUGGAGCGGCCGAUGUCGGAUUAGCUAGUUGGUGGGGUAAAGGCCUACCAAGGCGACGAUCCGUAGCUGGUCUGAGAGGACGACCAGCCACACUGGGACUGAGACACGGCCCAGACUCCUACGGGAGGCAGCAGUGGGGAAUUUUGGACAAUGGGCGCAAGCCUGAUCCAGCAAUGCCGCGUGCGGGAAGAAGGCCUUCGGGUUGUAAACCGCUUUUGGUAGGAACGAAACGGUGUCCGCUAAUACCGGGCGCUAAUGACGGUACCUGCAGAAUAAGCACCGGCUAACUACGUG